This 253-nucleotide ribosomal RNA is filed under the name uncultured bacterium. RNAcentral's name for it is "partial 16S ribosomal RNA". It matches the Rfam family "Bacterial small subunit ribosomal RNA", at positions 524 to 776 of the family's 1533-position model. The record is from RNAcentral.
UACGGGGGGGGUAAGCGUUGUUCGGAAUUACUGGGCGUAAAGGGCUCGUAGGCGGCCAACUAAGUCAUACGUGAAAUCCCUCAGCUUAACUGGGGAACUGCGUGUGAUACUGGAUGGCUUGGAUUUGGGAGAGGGAUGCGGAACUCCAGGUGUAGCGGUGAAAUGCGUAGAUAUGCGGAGGAACACCGAUGGCGAAGGCAAUCCCCUGGGCCUGCACUGACGCUCAUGCACGAAAGCGUGGGGAGCAAACAGG